AGUCCUCGAUCGGAUUAGUCGGCAUUGCUCGUAAACGGUCCGUGCUUCGGAAGAACGUCUCAUAUUACAUCACGUCUCAAACUUUCUGCUGGCUUUCGUAAAUAUGGUUUGGGAAACUUGUUUUCGCGUAAAAAUUUAAUAUAUAUCCGUGUGGAAUAGUCCAAAUAUAGAUAUAAAUGGGACAUGUGGUUAAGCUGUGGUUAAGCUGUGUUCAUGUGGUCUAAAGAAUGGUUUUAAAGAAGUUGUCAGUUGAUGCCUACACCACCUGCUUGGGUUGAAGUGGACCAAGCCAAAAAUGAAUAAAAAUAGACAAAUAUACUGUUGGCAGCCAUUGAGUUAGAAACACACCAGGAAUCAUCUGUCUUCGGCUGGCAAGGAAAAUAAAGACAAACAACUUGAUCUGGCUAAAUGAUAAAAGAAUGUGUGAGGCAGAGCAGCAAAGAUAGUGAAAAGGAAUGCUGUGUGCAAACAGAUGAAGGAUGAAAUCAUGAAAAAAUGGCAUGCAAAGGAAAAAUAAUAAUUGAACUUGAUAAGUGUUCUUCUUUAAAUGUUAGCCAAAUUGUUUUUUUUAAUUGUAUACGUAAAUAUGUGUAUGUAUUUAAAAUGAUUAACUUUUGU
Dendronephthya gigantea is the source of this 618-nucleotide long non-coding RNA. RefSeq lists it as uncharacterized. The transcript is spliced from 3 exons. The record is from RefSeq and is a predicted model, not a curated record. NCBI's taxonomy places the organism in Eukaryota, Metazoa, Cnidaria, Anthozoa, Malacalcyonacea, Nephtheidae.